Molecule: long non-coding RNA, 23659 nt
Filed under: Setaria italica (foxtail millet)
Lineage: Eukaryota; Viridiplantae; Streptophyta; Magnoliopsida; Poales; Poaceae
Description: long non-coding RNA (SITA_LNC000933)
Source: RNAcentral
ACUGUUCAACAUAAGUAAAUAGCUUAGUCCUUCUUAAGUCCAUUUUGGUAAAAGCUAUAGUUCAAUUAGUUUUCUUGAUUUUCUUAAAAUUUUACUCAAAGUUUGUGCCUUAUGUUGUACAUUUGCCUCACGGGCUGGCUAACUGACCUACAUGAGGCUGGCCAACUGAUCUGGAGGUUCACUAUCUAUGUUCUUUCAUUUCAUUGUCAAACAUAGAUAUUCUAAAUCUGAAAGUCUGUCGAAAUUUCCUAUGGAGUCUUGUGGUACCUUUAGUGUUUCUUAUCAUGUCCAGUAGAAGGUCUUGGAAAACAUAUUUGCAAUACAUGAUAUUUUUUAAAUCAAAAGUAGUAAUAUGCUGUGUAAUUGCCUUCUUGCCUCCUGACAUGUGGCAAAUUCAUUGAGCGUUUUCACUUACAUCGCUGGCAUAUUCAGUGAACAACGCAAAGAUGAUGGUUUUGAGUGAGAGGUCCUUUGGUCAAGGUAAUUUCAGAGCAUUGAUUUUCAAUGUACUUGUAAACCCAAGAGAAAGUUGAGCAGGCCACAUUCAGUUGUUAACUGGACUGUUGGCUUGCUGCUAUGGCAACAUGUUUUCAGCCUUAUUAUUACUUGCCGAGUUUACAUUGGGAUCUGAAAACUGGACUGUGUGCCAUUAGUUUUGUCUGUCUCCAGGACAUUGCCCAUGCACAUGAACUGACUGAUUACCAUGAAAAUUCACCUGUUUCAGUUCCAAACUAAUUAUUGCUUCAAGGUCACAAAGCUAUAUGAAAAUCUGUAUCCAAUUGAAUGCCGGAACUCUCUAGGAUGAUGUCAGGCAUUCCCAUUUAUAGGUUAACCUGAAGUGAUUCUUGAAGAUUAGUUUCUGCGUGGUUGAUUUGAAUUGUUUGUAAUAUUGUAUGCUUCAUCUUGAUUACUAUCAAUUUCACAGGUCAUGUUCAUUGUGAGGAAUGGAGCGCAAUAAUGCUUUGUGGUAACUCUGGGCAGACGAAAAUAGGCCACCUCUACCAUUUUCUUGAUAUUUAUUUUCUGAUAUCUGACUAUUGUAUUUGUCGUGAAAUUUAAAUUGUAGACGCUAUCAGAUCAUGUGUCACUUCAUGCUUUGAUCAUGUGAAAAAAUUCAGUGUAUUUACCCAUGAUCGGUGCCUUGCCCCGAGGGGUCUUUAAUUCCUGGAGGGGUCUUUAAUUCCUGAAUUAGGCAACGGUGAAUUUUCUUCUUAAUAUAUAGAUGCGCAGCUCUCCCGCAUGUUCGAGAAAAAUGAGGCAACAGUGACACAGCGCUGGUAGAAAGUAGAAAGUGAAGAAGCGGUUUGAGCAUAUUGCUACUGACAGCUACCUCCGCAAGAUUUGGCCGGUACUGCAAGCUCUGAGUUUCACAACUCUGAACCACUUGGUAAAAAACAGUCUGAAUUUUGUGUUGUGAUUAACUGACUAGACAUCCGAAUAAAUUAAUGUACUGAUAUUCUGAAAUUUGUUUUAGCACUGGGACUCUCUGGACUAUCCGGUGGAAUCAGGCCUUGGCAGGACUGAGGCAGAUGUGGGGGGUGACACCGUGCAGGUGAGGUGGUGGUGGUAUCUGGCUCUGGCAUCUCCCUUUAUCCGCUUGAUGGAAUGGCAGCAUGGGUAUGGAGACACCUUCAGCAUCUAAACAAAGCCCAAAAGGUACAAAGAUACUAUUUAAUCACUUUUGAUUUGUUAAUUUGCUAUCAUAUAAAUUGCAGUAACAGGUCUUGAGUAAUAUGUCAAUGCUAUAAUUUUGCUUGCUUGUUGUGUGUCCUCUCUAAAAUCUUUUCUUUACCAUAUAUAUCCAUAUGCACAAGAUAUUUGCAGUUACAAGUAUAAUCCUCAAGGAGUGAAAAGCUUGUGAUUCUGUCCGUGCAGGCAACAGGCAUUGAUCGCUAAUCAGCAUGGCCUCCACAAGUACCCAUCAUGGGAAGUGCAGCAACCAGUAUUGUGUUCAAACCUGAAGAAAAUAUAUGGGGAUGGCUGGGUGGCUGCACAGCUCAUGGCAGGGACCAAUUUGGAGUCUGCAUCUUCUUUCCCAUAUAUAUAUGAUAUUUCCAUAUACUGUCAGGAUGCUAUUAAACUGCCUUCACCAGAUUACAAUAAACUGUGAACUUCAGAACUUUAAUUUUCGAUAAGUUGGAGUCGACGCUUAAAACUUCAGAGCUUUAUUUACUCCUAUGUACCAACAGCUCUAAAUUUUUGUGCACUGCACCCUUAGUUUUUUAGUGAACAAUACUGAUUGCUGAGGUUAUAAUGCAUCUUUCUAUGUGGGACUAUAGUUUUGUCAAGUAAGGCUAUGUACACAUUGAUAAAUCUGCUUCAGAAUAAUAUUGCUAAUAUCUCACUAUCUGAAGAAAGUCAGGUUUAUCAGUUAUUUAUAGAAGACUUGCUUGUUAGAAAGGACCUAAAUAGGUUUUCUUUGUCUAUGUGAAUUUUCGGGGAAUUCUGCUUAUCUUCCACGGAUAGAUGCUACUUCUCCUGUAAUAUUGAAUUGGGUCAUGUGUGUGUCAGCUCUUUGCUUGCCAAAGGAGCUUGUGACUUGCAACUACUACUACUUAUUCAAUGAUCUCUAAUAAUUGAAUCAUUUUGUUCAGAUUCUAAUUAUCAGGUCUUUUCCUCAUCUCUUUAUGUUUUGAGGUGUUGGAUGAGAAAGGGUUAAUGGUGGUUGCUACCAUUCUACAAGAAAUUAGAGAUUGUCAUUAUGAGUGCUGUAGUUGAAGUGGGGUUAAUGUUAAACCAUGAUGGUACCAAGGAGACUUCAUCCAUUUGAAUAUUCUACACUCAAGAAACAGAAAGGUGACAGUUGUCAAAUACAUAUUAUGAACUAGCUGAAAUUAAAAUAUUCUUGUAUUCCUUAGAUUAUUUGUGUCAUGCAAACUCCACUUUAGAAAAUUCCAUUCUAAAUUGCUGUGUGAGAUUAUGUACCAUUCUAAUAUGAUCUCAUGGGGGAAUUAUUUAGCCCAUAGCAACGCACGGGCACGAUCCUAGUGGAAUUGAAAAGAAUAGAGAUCGCGUAUGACAAGAGUACUCUAGGUAAUAUUUCUUCAAAUACCGAUUCAGCUCCCUCAUUUUCACUUCAAUAUUUUCACCAAUGGUAUAGAAAUAGAACUUGAUGAAUUCCACGUCUCAUCGAGCAAAACAUCUCGAAUUGCUAGCAACAUCUUCAAGAAAAGGUGGGCUGUAGGAUGCCUGUUUGCGGAGAAUGCUUUGGUUGCCUCACUUAAAGCAUCACGAAUGUCCUUUACUGCUUUGUUAUUCACACUAGCAUUGUCUAAUGUCAAGGUAAACAGCUGUUCAAUCAACUCCCACUUCAUCAACCACAACUUCUUGUCCUAGAUCCAUAUCACCUAGAUGACACAACUUCUUAGCCUUCGGCCUAGUAUCUUCCAAGUGAACAAAAGAGCCUGGAAUGUGAAUAAGAUCAACAAAUUUGAAUAAAAUACCAACUUGUUUUGGUUUUACUGACUGCUUGUAUUUUUAGUACUACAAUGAGUAGGUUUGAAGAAAAUAUGAUUCUGUAUAUGAUGCAGUUGUUUUGGCUCACAGCUAACUGUAUUUUGUUCCCAUGAUAAAAAAAUUCUGAUCAGAAAUCUUGUUUUUUCACUUCAGAUUAGAAGUAAUGUAAGAUGUCAGAUUAAUGGACGAUGAGGAGCAUAAGUUUUAGGCUUCGAGGACACAGUGCCCCUCCAAUUGCAUACUGAUACUGCUAAAACGAAAGGGGACUGAGGUGACUGGGAUAUCAUCAGUAUCAGAUAUACUAGCAGCUAUGUUCAUGAGCUUCUAUGUGGUGAAACAAGCUGGAGAUGACUAAGGUAUAGGAGCUUUUUUUCACAGAACAGUAGGACCAUUUUCACGAGAUUCAACUGCCUGAUCUUAACUGAAUGGUAAACAUAAGCAAUACCAGUAUGCAACCAACAAAAGAUCUUGCACUCCCAUCUUACAUUCUCUAAAACAGUAACAAUUCUAAGUUCACAGAUCUAGUGGUACUAAAAAGCUCAAUGAACGAAUUUAAUUUGCCAAUGCCAUCCUCCUGCUCUACAAAACCCAAAAACUCAAGCAGAUUGAAGCUGCAAAGGAGAGUUUAAAAAUAGCCAACACUAGCAGAAUACUGCACGAACUAGGCACAGCGCAGUAUAAACAAAAAGACAAAUAGGAAAGGCAAACACAUCAGAUGAAAAUCACCUGCACGCCGACGCCACCUGCGUCCGCUGCUGAGGCCGCCUGCUCUUGCUGGCCGCCGCGCGUCGGCCUAGCCGCACGCCCUGCCGGAGCCCGCCGGGGGCCGGCCCCACGGGAGCGCCUCGCACCCCCGCACCGCCCGGAUCUUGAGUUCUUGCGCCGCCGCCGCCGCCGCACGAGCCUGGAGAGGCCGCGAAAAAGAGGAGAGCCCCUUUCCUGCGAUCCACGGGCUCAGCCCUUCCAAUUGACUCAAGGAUCGAUUAUGGGCCACGUUCACAGGUCAGCCCUUUUAUGGAGAUGGCCCGAUCUGAUCCUGCCCAUUCUUCGGGAAGGCCUUUUAAGGCUCGGCCUAUAUGAGCUUGUAAGGCCCGAUCGGUUUGGCCCUUGGAUUUUCCAGGCUUAAGUAUAGGUAUAAGGUUUUCUACGUAUCUAAAAUAUUUUCCACUAGAAAAGGUUUUCUACGUAUGUAAAAUAUUUCCACUUGACUACCCGAUAAGGCAAUCAUUCGUGUGGCACAUGCCCGGGGCCUACUCGGAAAGUGAGUGCGCAUCCUCUCACAUGAUUGGACACAUCCACUUGACUCCUCAAAGGUCGUCAAUGCUUGCAGCUUGCAUUUUCCACAGAAGCAGCAGCUCUUGAACCCACUGUCCAGCAUCUCCCUCUCCACCCACCAACACUGUGUUUCCCUGUCUACUGCGCGUGUGUUUUGGAGCUCCCGGCGUAGCCAUGGCUGAGGUACUGGCCACCAUGGUGGUCGGGCCACUGGUGUCCAUGGUGAAGGAGAAGGCCUCCAGCUACCUCCUGGACCAGUACCAGGUGAUGGAGGGCAUGGAGGAGCAGCACAAGCUCCUGAAGCGCAAGCUGCCGGCCAUCCUCGAUGUCAUCGCCGAUGCCGAGCAGCAGGCGGCGAAACACAGAGAAGGGGCCAAAGCUUGGCUGGAGGAGGUCCGGACGGUGGCCUACAAGGCGAAUGAUGUCCUCGACGAGUUCAAGUACGAGGCGCUUCGCCGCAAAGCCAAGGUGGAGGGCCACUACAAGGCGCUCGGCAUGGAUGUAAUAAAGCUCUUCCCUUCUCACAACCGUGUUGUGUUCCGUUAUAAGAUGGCAAAAAGGCUCUGCAUGAUCUUGCAAGAAAUUGAUGUCCUCAUCGCAGAGAUGAAUGCGUUCAGGUUCAAAUUCAAACCGCAGCCGCAAAUGCCCAUGCAAUGGAGGCAGACGGAUGCUUGCAUCCCCACUGAGUCUGUGGAGAUUGCCAGCAAAUCAAGAGCUCAAGAGACGAAGGUUCUUGUUGAUCGAUUGCUUGCUGGAGCCAGCAGUAAGGAUCUCAUGGUCCUUCCGAUAGUCGGAAUGGGGGGGUUGGGCAAGACCACCUUAGCACAGCUCGUUUACAAUGACCCUGAAAUUCAGAAGCAUUUCGAGUUGCGGCUCUGGGUGUGUGUCUCUGAGGAUUUUGAUGUGGAUUCCCUGGCUAACAGAAUAGUGAAAGAGAAUGGUUGUAAAGCAAGUGAAAGUUCAUCAGCACUGGACAAUCUUCAAAAGGCAGUGAGUGGGAAGAGGUACCUCCUCGUAUUGGAUGAUGUGUGGAACCGUGAUGAGCCCAGCAAGUGGGAAAGGCUCAAGUCCUACCUUCAGCAUGGUGGCAGCGGUAGCUCAGUGCUGACAACAACUCGCGAUGAAGCUGUUGCUAAACUAAUGAUGGGUACAACUGAAAGAGCCUAUAAACUUGGAAGCUUGGAUGAAGAGUCCAUAGGGAAAAUUAUCAAGGCAAGAGCAUUCGGUUCAAAACAAGAAAAGGAAUGGCCUGGUGAGCUAGUUCACAUGGUUGGUGAAGUUGCCAAGAGAUGUGCUGGUUCUCCUUUAGCUGCUACAGCAUUGGGCUCUUUACUGAGUACCAAGACCAGCAAGCAAGAAUGGAAGGAUGUACUAAAUGGAAGCACGAUUUGUGAUGAGGAAAAUGGGAUUUUACCAGUACUUAAACUAAGUUACAAUUGCUUGCCAUCAUACAUGCGGCAAUGCUUUGCUUUCUGUGCUAUGUUUCCCAAGGAUUAUGAGAUUGACGUGCAAAUGCUAAUCCACUUGUGGAUGACCAAUGGUUUUAUCCCAGAGCAAUCAAAAGUGUGUCCUGAAACUUUUGGAAAAGGAAUUUUCAUUGAGCUGAAGUCAAGGUCAUUUUUUCAGGAUUUGAAGAAUGUCCCAUUUUACGAAAAUGGAUAUUCUAUUCAUGGAGAGGGUGAUGAGCACAGGUAUUGUUCUAGAAUUACUUGUAAGAUCCAUGACCUUAUGCAUGAUGUUGCACAGUCUGCUAUGGGAGAAGAAUGUGCUGCAAUAGCUACACACCCAAGUGAAAGAGAGGAUGUUCUUCGUUCAGCUCGUCACUUGUAUUUGUCAAUCCGUCGAUCAGAAACUCUUCUGAGUGCUUCCCAAGAGAAAGGAUCUCCAGCUUUCCAAACACUGAUUUGUGACGGAUAUGUAGGAGAUUUGAAGAUUUUAUCAAAAUACAAUUCUAUAAGAGCUUUAAAGAUCCGUUGUGGUUCAAUCCUAAGGCCGAAAUAUCUUCAUCACCUGAGGUAUCUUGAUCUCUCGAGAAGUGAUAUUGAAGCACUUCCUGAAGACAUUAGCAUCCUAUAUCAUCUGCAAACACUGAACCUUUCUUACUGUGACUGGCUUGAACGGCUUCCAAAGCAACUGAAGUAUUUGACUGGCCUCCGUCACCUCUACACUCACGGAUGUGAAAAGUUGAAAAGCAUGCCUGCAGAGCUCGGACGCCUGACUUCCCUACAGGCGCUUACAUACUUUGUAGCAGGUACCGAUGACUCCGGUUGCAGUAAUUUGGGAGAGCUGCAGAAUUUGGACCUUGGUGGUACACUGGAGCUAGGAAAUCUAAAAAAUGUGACAGGAGCAGAUGCACAAGCAGCAGGUCUUGGAAACAAGAAAAAACUGACCCAACUGGAGUUAUGUUGGACUGAUAGUGACCAGGAAGCACAGAAUAAUAAUCAUAAAGAGGUGGUGGAAGGUCUCAAACCUCAUGAUGGGUUAAAGGCUCUGAGGAUAAAUCACUACGGGAGCACAACUUUUCCAACGUGGAUGAAUACUUUGAAAGGCAUGGUGGAGCUCACAUUAUUCCGUUGCAAAAAGCUCGAAGAGCUUCCUGCACUCUGGGAGCUAUCAGCUCUGCAAAUUCUUCACCUGAAGGGUUUGGAGAGUUUACAUUGUUUGUGCAGCGGUGGUACUACACCCAUCACAUUUCCAAAACUGAAUGUACUUAUCUUGUUAGAAAUGGCAAAAUUUGAGGCAUGGCGGGAGGCACAUGAGGUACAAGGAGAAGAGCCGAUAUUUCCCAAGGUUGAGGAGCUGGUGAUUAAGGAGUGUACAAGUUUGACUGCAUUACCAAAAGCAGCGUCGGUGAUUACAGAAUUGUCUGGCAGAGUUGACACUAAGUGCCGCUCUGCAUUUCCAGCAUUGAGGAAAAUGAAGCUAUAUAAGUUGACUGUGUUUGAAAGAUGGGAGGCAGGCGAAGGAAUUUCAGGCGAAGAGGUAACCUUUCCUCAGCUUGAGGAGCUGUCAAUCGAGUAUUGUGGCAGCCUGAGUGCACUACCAAAAGGGCCAUUUGGCGGAGCUGAAACUGUGUGUUGCUGCUCCGCAUUUCCAGCACUGAGGAAACUAGAGUUAUCUGGUUUGUUGGCCCUUGAGAGGUGGGGGGCAGCCGAAGGAACUCCAGGAGAAGAGGUAACAUUUCCUCUGCUGGAGAACUUGAGUAUCCAUGAUUGCCCGAGGUUGACUGAUCUACCUGAAGCACCGAAGCUAAGUGAAUUAUCCAUAAGUAAAGGACAUGGUCAACAACAAAUAUCCCUAGAGGCAGCUAGCAGAUGCAUCCCUUCAUUGUCCCGUCUGACUCUGACCGUGUCACCCGAUGACACAGAAACAACAUUGCUGCAUGUCAAGAAUAAAUUGAAUGGUACACUCGCCUUGGCAGCUAUGCGGUUAGGUCGGUGCGACAUUUUUUUCUCCUCCAGCUCAAGCGCACUGGCGCUAUGGACAUGUUUUGCACAGUUAGUAGAUUUGGAUAUUUGGGAUUGCGAUGCUCUUGUCUACUGGCCAGAAAACGUGUUCCAGGUCCUGGUAUGCCUGAGGAAGUUAGCGAUUUCCAGAUGCAGCAAACUGACAGGACGCACACAAGCUUCUGAUGAGCAAUCUGCUCCAGCUCCAGAACGUGGUGGACUCCUGCCAUGCCUGGAGUCUCUAGGGAUAGUAGAUUGUGAAUCUUUGGUAGAGGUCCCCAUCCCGGCAUCUCUCAAGAAAUUACGUAUUUGGGGCUGCAGUAGUAAUGUCGGGUCCAUCGUAUUUGGUCACCCGGAGGAUACGAGAUUGGUGAGUGGAGAAGGUGUUGUACGGCCGAAUACGUCAUCAUUAAUUCCAGGGUCCAGCAGCAGUGAGGCCACAGCGUCUACAGCUGUACUGAAGCUGUCAUCUGCAGCCAACCAUCGCUUCCUUCCAUUUCAAUGCCUAGAAUUUCUAGGUAUAGCGUGUUGCAGUGGCUUGUCAGAGGUUGCCAAUCUUCCUCCGUCUAUCAAGACCUUGCGCAUUUGUGGCUGCGGCAAGUUUCAAUCCCUAUCAGGAGACCUCCGGUUGCUGGAAGAACUCAAGCUUUAUCAUUGCGAAAGACUGGUAUCCUUACCGGAUGGGCCUCAAGCAUACUCAUCUCUUAGAGUUCUUCGGAUUGAAAAUUGUGAUGGUAUAAAGUUGCUUCCGCCAAGCCUACAGAGCCGUUUGGGCUACCUCGAGGAGAAAGAUCUAGAUGCCCGUUACGAAGGUAAUCUCCAGUUUCUUUGUUUCUUUUAACAAAAUGAUCAAGAGCUCAAUUGUUGUUACCUAAAAUGCAACUCUGUGCUUAAACAUUCUGUUAGCUAUUACAAGAUGUGGUAGGAUUUAGUGGUAAGAAGUUUAUGAGUAUUACUCUGUGUUAAACAUUCUGUUAGCUAUCUAGCCAAGCCGUUCAUGAUGUAUACAUUAUAUUGACUAUUGAGUACAAUGCACCACUAAUAUUUAUGUGCAUGUGUGUCAUCGAAAUACAUUAACUUCGUGUAUUAUUGCCAUUCGGGGUAUCUAAACACGUACAACCAGAUCAAGAACCGCAGUCAUCCUUGUAUUUAUAGCUAUAAGAUGAUCUUUGUUGUUCACUUUUGAUACCUUGGUUGUAAACUUGUAAUUGCUAACUCGAAUCAUGUAAUAAAAUCAAUCAUCUUCCUUUAGUUGUAUUUAAAGCAGCAUGGCAUCAUGGAAUUAUUGCAGCCGAAUUCACUAGCUCCAAUUAAAGUGGCACUUGUCCUAGCGUUUCUCUGCAAAUUCACUAGCUCCAUUGCAUACAGUUCAAGUAUGUGUAGUUUUCUUUUCAUGGCUUAUGCCUUUUGACAUAAAUAAUAAUUUUCCUUUCCUUUGAAACAUUUACUAUUGGGUACCACAGCAUAUUCUCCUGUGUAUAUAUAUACUUUCUAACUUUGUGUUGAUUUGCAUGCAUAAAUUCUAACAUCAUCUGUGAUCAUGGCUAUAAGAUGAUCUUUGUUGUUCACUUUUGAUACCUUGGUUGUAAACUUGUAAUUGCUAACUCGAAUCAUGUAAUAAAAUCAAUCAUCUUCCUUUAGUUGUAUUUAAAGCAGCAUGGCAUCAUGGAAUUAUUGCAGCCGAAUUCACUAGCUUCAAUUAAAGUGGCACUUGUCCUAGCGUUCCUCUGGAAAUUCAUGAUCACUAGCUCCGUUGUAUGCAGUUCAAGUAUGUGUAGUUUUCUUUUCAUGGCUUAUGCCUUUUGACAUAAAUAAUAAUUUUCCUUUGAAACAUUUACUAUUGGGUGCCACAGCAUAUUCUCCUGUGUAUAUAUAUACUUUCUAACUUUGUGUUGAUUUGCAUGCAUAAAUUCUAACAUCAUGGCCUGAUUGCCAGAAUUGCCAGAACCAACCUGGAAACGUUCAAUCAGGAAGCUGGUGUGCUCGAAAUAGUAGAUCAAGGCCUGACCAAAGAAAAUUAUCUCCAAGGUAUUUUUGCAAAGAUAUCACCAAGGUUUGUAAUAUUAGUGUUCUUGAUGAUUGAUUGGAAAUGAUGCUAGCUCCUAAUGCUGACUUCCUAUGCGCUGUGACUUCCUUGUAGGAUGGUGCCAGACCUGCAAAAGAUGGAUUAUUGUGACUCUUGUUUAGAAUGUAUCAUAUGGGCAUUCUGAAGAUAUUCUCCAGUAAAGUCAAGGCAAAGUUCUAGAUUUUGAGCAGAAAACAAGUCCUAGAUUGCAAGCUGAAGAAUUUAGCACACAGAGCUGCGUGCUCCAGUCUUUUAUCCUUCUUCAAACCGAAGACCUUUAUUUUGAGCAGAAACGAAGUCCCAGACUGCAAGCAGAAGAAUUUAGCAUACAGAGCUGCGGGCUCCAGUCUUUUAUCCUUUUUUUUUUCUUUUGAGCCAUGACUUGUUUGCAUUCGUGUCUGCUUCAGCCUCCAGCACAAGCGAAACACAGGCAGCACUUUCAUUUUAUGAUUUGUCUAUCCACAUACAUGACCGACUGCCAUAGAGUAGACCAACAGUCCAACGUACUCAUGUUGUUGCUCGACAAGCUGUCCAAGCUGCUGCUUGAUAUGAACUGAAAGUGCUGAACUUUGUCCAUGUUAUGUUGGUAGUAUAUCUAAUACUGAACUUCAGAGUAGAACAACAGUCCAACGUGCUCAUGUUGUUGCUCGACAAGCAGUCCAAGCUGCUGCUUGAUAUGAACUGAAAGUGCUGAAUUUUCUCCCGUGUAUGUUCUGUGUUACUGUGUAUCAAAUACUGAAUGGUGUGCAGGGUGAUCCUGCAUCCUGGAAUGGCACGGUCUUGUGCAGAGGUCUCAUUGUUGUUGACCUGUUUCUUCAAAACUGCAUGUGCAGCAACAUUUUCUCCUGGCAGUGCUGCAAUGGAAUUGAAAAGAAUGGUGAUUGUUAUAGUAUAAUUGUCAUAUAUAGGCUGGGACACAAAACAAUGGAUGUACAUGAGCAAGGAAGAAGCUCUGGAUGCAGGGGAUGGAACAGAACAGAGACACGGACUCUGUCAACAGCGAUGCUCCCCAAGCGAGCAGAGGCAGAGCAGCGAAGCCCGCCUCGCAAUCUCCGCUACCCCCAUCGAAGUUGCCACACGCCACCGCAUCUCCCUCCACUCCGCUCCCACUCCCCCGCCACCGCCAUGGCCGCCGCCGCCGCAGCGCCCUCCCUCCUGCACCCACCGGCGGCCCGCAAGGCCCCCACACCUUCUCCCUCUCCUUACCCUUCCCCAUUCCUCCGCCUCCCGGCCCCCGCGCACCCGCGCCUCCCGCUCCGCCUCCGCUCCACCUCCCCGGCCGCCGCCUCCGACCUCACCGACUUCCCCAACCCGAACGGCAUCCUCGCGCCCAUCGACGUGGACGCCGCCACGGAGGCGGAGCUUCGCGAGAACGGGUUCCGGAGCACGCGCCGCACCAAGCUCGUCUGCACCGUGGGCCCGGUCACCUCGUCGCCCGAGCAGCUCGAGGCGCUCGCCGUCGGCGGGAUGAACGUCGCCCGCCUAAACAUGUGCCACGGGGACCGGGAGUGGCACCGGGGCGCCAUCCGGGCAGUCAGGAGGCUAAACGAGGAGAAGGGCUACGCCGUCGCCGUCAUGAUGGACACCGAGGGCAGCGAGAUCCACAUGGGGGACCUCGGCGGCGCCUCAUCGGCCAAGGCGGAGGUGAGGUGCUGUGCUUGUAUGUAAGCUGCUGUCCAGUUUUGGACUUGGCGUUGCAGUUUUCAGUUUUCAGAUUGAACGUAUUCCGUGAAAUGUGCUUGUGCAAUGUGGCAAUGUGGAUGAGAGGGGUGGUGGCAGUGGCAGUGUCAGGCAUUGCCGUUUCAUACUUCUGCAAAACCUAGCGAGUCAGGAUUUCACCAAAAUGUUUUUUUUCCAUCUUCGAAAUGGCUCAGUUGAUUUAGAUUUUCAGCUCAUGUUUGAAAUUGUUAUAGAAGGAAAAACAUUCAGAAUUUCAGAUUGUCAUCAAACACUGGAUUGUGAAAGUGGUAAUCAUUUUCAAGGCUUUCAAUCUUUCAAAAAAAUUUCAAGGCUUUCAGUAUCAGUGCAACUCAAAUAAAGUGCAUGGUAAACAUCACCAUGUUUUGGCUUUCUCUGCAUAUAAGACACGGUGCUGGAGUGGUUCGACGGCGCUGAGGUCCCAAUCCAACCAGUCAGGUUUUUUCAAGGUGUCGAGUUUGAGUGCUUACCUGCGUUGGCCCCAUUCCAACCGGGCGAGUCUUUAUUUAUUUUUCGUUUCUUUUCUUUUUUUGCCUAUGGCCUCCCAGGACCGUAGUCUUGUAUUUUCUAUUAUAUCAAUAGAAACUCGCACUAUCUUGUGCGGUUCGUUCAAAAAAAAGUGAUAGGCAUUGAGCUUCUGAAGGUCGUUGUCUAGAUAUUAGGCCCAAGCCUCAAUGGCUUUUUUUUCCCUGUUGCAAACCUUCCUGUAAGUAAAGGGCACACCAGUGCGAAAGCUCCCACACAAGGUGGGGUCUGGGGAAGGGAAUUCCUAGAUAGCCUUACCCUUGCAAAAUUCUUUUAAAUUUUUGCAAAGAGGUUGGUUCGAACCCAGGACCUCCGGGCCACAAGUGGAGAGUUUUACCACUGUGCCAGGUCCGCCCUUCUAGCAGAAUCUCUUAUGCUAGGUUUAAUUUGAAUUAGCUUUAUUAGUAGAAUGCUUGGCCCAUUUAUUGGUAAAUGGUAAAAUUCAUAAAGAUUAUCCUCAUUCCCUUAAUCAAUUUUAGGUGUUUAACUUGCAGCAAAUUCGAACAAUGACAGACAUGCAGCAUAUUGUUAGUUCAUCUGUAAGACUUGGCUUGCUGGUUUAAUGCUUUGUUAAAGGUUUGAAGUUAAUGUGUCUACUGGUAGCUAUUGAAUCUCUUUAUAGUUUAUUUAUAUCUUUUUUCUUUAUUAGUAUAAAGCCAUGUAGAAGUUUUCAGAAUACUGAAAUUUCUAGUGUUCGUUUUGUGGAGUCUCUGCACCUACAUCCUUUUUUGCAACUGCAUUUCAGAUCCUUCAGUUAUAGCAUGAAUAAUUUUUUAAAAAAGAAAAUUCUAGGUAGAUUCUUGCCCGUAGUUAAUGGUAGUGUCCGAUGAUAGUUGUGUUUUAGAUAAUACAUUAAUAUUAGUAAUCCAAAGAAACUAAACUACUUCCAUGAUGCUAAAUGUCAUCAGUGCUAGCUAGGGUCACUAUACCAAAAAGGAGAUUCUAUCACCAUUCGGCUGUUUAUCUUAAGUUUUUAACCAUACAGUUAGAAGUUUGAUUGUACACCUAUUCAAUAAUCCAAGGUUUUCUUGAGCCACGUUAUUUACCCAAUGACUUCCAUUUUUCUUGGCAUUAAAACCUUUCUGAAGUAAUUAACAAAUCAUGUCACAUUUGUUGGAUUCCACAGGAUGGAGAAGUCUGGACAUUUAGUGUUAGGUCAUUUGAAUUGCCUCUCCCAGAACGAACUAUUAAUGUGAAUUAUGACGGGUUUGCUGAAGGUAUGUAAGCUGACCUAUUUGUUGAUAUCUUUUGCUGUUAUUGUUCACUGCCAUAAUUUUGUCCUACACAGAUGUGAGAGUUGGUGAUGAGCUUCUUGUGGAUGGUGGAAUGGCUCGGUUUGAGGUGAUUGAGAAGUUGGGACCAGAUGUUAAGUGUCGCUGCACAGAUCCUGGUUUAUUGUUGCCACGUGUGAAUCUUACAUUCUGGCGUGAUGGCAGUAUUGUCCGUGAGAGGAAUGCUAUGCUUCCUACAAUUUCAUCAAAGGUAAAUGCACUAGCAUAAUAAAUUUCUUGCUGUAAUUACCAAAAGACCGCAAAACUUUGUUAAUCUAUGCCACCCCUUGGUACUAGUAUUGCAAUGGAUUUACAGCUUGGUUUUUUUUGUCAAUGCCAUGGUCAGUUCAAAACAACAUGUAUUAGUUCAAAGCCUUACAUUGUGCACUGAAACUCAUCUCUUGAUAGUUUUUAUCAGCUAUUUCUUAAGAAGGCUUCUACCACCUAGAGUUGUUUAACUGAAAAUUUAAUCUUCUAGUAGCAGAUACUAAUAUUAUAAGUUUAUAAUAAUGCUGCUCCUACCCCCGACGCAGCUUGCCGGAGGCCCUUGACGCAGCGCUGCCAUCCGCAAGCCCUAACGCCGCCGACGCGCCCCUCUCCUCGGUUGAUUUGGGAAGGCGCGGGACUGAGGCAGGGAGAUUGGGAAGCAGAGCUUCCUGUUCCUCGUCUGCUACUCUGCUUCAAUUGGGCACCGGGAAAAGCGAUGCUGCCGGGUGCUCGGGUUCUUGGAGAGGGGAUGGAAUGGAAUGAUGGAUCGAUGCGGGAUGCGUUGCUGUUGCUAGCGGCUUCUGAUUGGAGAGAGGAGAGAAGCUGGUUGCUUGUGUUACCGUGAACGUGAAGGAAAACAGAGUAGGGAGGAGAGCAAGCUGCUGGUGCAGGAGCAUCAUGGCUACGGCAAUGGCAGCGGUGCGGUUCGUUCCGUCAAAUCCCAGAUUUCGGCCACAUUUGAUUGAUGCGAUUUAAUUUGAUUCCUUAUUGGUCGCCAGCCACGCAUUCGAUUCAUGGACGCGCAGGCCCCGGUGGUGAUGCAAGCCACGGUGGUUCCUGCAUGACAAUAGGUUCUUGUUACAAGACAGUCAUCAGUCAUAUUGUGAAGAACUGAUGGCAGUUUUGAACACAAAUAUAGGAUUUCAUCACGAUACACUAGAGGUUUACAAUCAUCAACUACUGCAGGGGAAAAAAAUGGAGCUAGUAUUUUUGAAAAAUGGCCCGAUGUUGAAUCUGUGAUAAUGCAACUUAUGUAGCAGAGCAACCAUGGUAACACAAAAAUGUGCCAAGAGACUGACCUGAUCUUCUUCAGCCUCUCUCCAGGUCAUCCCCGAGCUUCAUGUCAAGAGCGUUGGAAACAACCUGGGAGAACCUACAUCCUUGUAAUCCUUCUUCAUGAUGAGGAAUCAGUCAGGGACCAUGAACUGGCGAGGGUUAGGAACCACAUUCUUGAGGCGCUCAAGCUCAUCUGGGGACACCUCACGAGCUCUGCACAAAAAUAUUAUCAUCAGAGCUAAACUUCAUGCAAUGGGGCAUUCUAGCUGUAGCAUACAACAACCUACUGGCCCAGUUUGUUAUUGCGGCACAUGGAAAAUUAGUGGGAAAGUGGUGCGAUGCACCCAUCUCAAAUCUCCAACUUCAAAAAACAUGAAUGCCAAAGACUUCUGCAUAGGCUGUCUUUAGAUGGCAGAUGUUUUUUAAAACACGUUUUCCAAUGGGCUUCACUCUCAAGUAGAUUCAGAAAAGCUAAUUGAUGAUCGGCACCAAGCCACAGAUGACUGCCACUAAUGAACAGUCAGUAGAUAAUUUCUGCAUUGUUGCCUAGAUUUCACCUGAGGAAAACCAAACUGAUUGAACAUCUCGCCACAAUUUCUUAGAUUAACUGAGCCCAUCACCUACGGGAAUGGAAGGAAAAAAAACCGAAAACUGUUACCAACAUUACAAUUUGUCAAAUAAUCUUCAUAUUCGAAUUCCCUAUACAAAAAUACCGCUUUGCCAGACUGGACCAGAAAGCAAACCAAACCUAAAUUCAGUAUAUUUAUACAUGUUGAAUCAUCUCUUGGUCACGUUUUCUUCAUUGAAAAGAAGUAAUGAGAAGAAACAUUCUUCAAAAAUUACUGAUCAAAACCAUAUUUUUAGUGUGCUACGAUUCUACAGCGACUUCAGUACAAUGGAAGCAUUGGUGCUACAACGAGCUUCUGAUAAAGUUAGGAGUGAUUUUAAUCCACUUUUCAACUUGGAAACCAAGUUGAAAACAAGUCUUCCUUUUUGUUAAUGUGUUGCCGUGAGAACAUAGAGUAUGAGCAGUUCAAACCGGUUACCUAAAUUAUGCUUGUGAUCCGUGCACUGUGAUGGUCAAACUUCUCCUUGUUAAAUGGCAAGCUGCUGUUGCCUUGGAUCCUAAGGUCGUGCUGUGAAUGGUAUUGUAACUGUUAAGGUAAAUCCUGUUCUCCAUUUGUGGCCAUGCAUGAGAAUUGAGAACUGGAGAUCAUUCUGAAUUUUUGCUCCUUACAGAUUGCUUUGUGUAUCCCUUGUGCGCCAAAUGGGACUGAAAUUCGUGGCGUGAUACGUCAUCGUGACCUUUUGAAUUUUAGUUGGCUUUGUUUUUGUUUUCGAGGAUUUAACUGUUGUGCCUCCGUCUUCCAUGUGGCGAAGAAAUUGACGCAGUGGGGUCGGGAUGGUGUUCAGCUGCUGUUUGCUGGUAGACUGUUUAUUUUGUUUGGGAGUAUAAAGGGGUGGAUCAUCCAUCAUAUCUAAGCAAUAUGAUUAGUGCAAAUCAUGAUGGUCAACGUCAGGUUUCGUUUUGGGCAACCAACCACAGGGUUUCUUUGAUGGUUUCGUAUUCAUUGUAAUCGCUGUCGUUGCUUGCUUCUUGCUGCCCACAUUCCUAUUCUCCCGUCGGCUCGACGGAGGAUUUUAUUUUAAGAAUGCAGAGAAAGAAACAUGCCUCCGUUUUCCAAGCAAAGCAUAUAUUCUUUCUGGAAGGUCAACGACAAGGCCCCGGCCGUUCCAAGCUUCUCGCUGGCCUAGCCGUCGCGUCCAUUCAAGCUCAGAGGCGACUGCCGUUCCGAGCUCUCCAAGGGCCCGCGCGAUGGGAAGCGGCGCGGUUCUUGACGGUGGUGUUGUUCCUCGCCGCGGGGGUCCUCUUCGCGCCCGAAUCGCUGGCGCCUCGGCGGCCACCGCAUGGGGCACCGGCCUCUGGGUCGCAUUCAUCGGCGGCACCAUCCUGUUCAGGUAAGCAAGCGCCGCCGCUGCCGCUUCGUCCGCCCCAAGAUCAGAUGGUUGGAAACAAGCGAGAGAUGGAUUCUGUCAUGUUUACUAAUAUACCAUUAUACCCAAGCCUAAAUGUGAUAUGCUGCUGCUGUCAUAGCAUUCACAUUCAAAUCCAAUUUCGUGCGCAGCAAUGCACGGCGCCCAUCCUAGGAAGAACUCUGAGGAAAAUGACAAGCCUCAUGAAUCUGUCCUUGGAAUCAUGCGAGUUUUAGUAAAUCAUUGGAAUCCACUGGAUCAUCAUCUUAAUCUGGCAACCAUUGGUCCGGAAAAAUCAUUCUAGUAAAUAUUCACCUUGACGAUCUGUUGGAAGGACAAGGACCACAAAAAUUAUGAAUUGGGAUUUAUGUGCUGUAUUGAGAGAGCCCGUAGGUGCUGGAUUUCUCUGGAAACGUUCUGAAAGUUCUGGUAGUGGUAGCACUGCUACAAUUUUACAAGCAUGUGGGGUUGUUCCUCUGUUUGUUGAUUAGGUAUUAUGUUUUGCAGUCUUAAAGUUCAGAAGGUAAUUACCCAGGUGUGCAAGUAUACCUUCAAGUUUUUUUUUAACAUAGUGUACAUAUUACCUUGUUAUAGUGAGAACAGAGAAGUCCACCGCAAAAGUAUAGCCUAGCAUAUAUUGUUCUUGCAAUAGACCAUGUGUGGAUAUGCCCCUUUGCAGGUCGAUUAUUCCAUUCAGAACAUAGCAUGGACCUCUAUAGUGUUUUGGAUAGAUUUUUUUUUAUUAUAAAGGUACUUGCCGAGGCACCAAUUUGGGAGUCUGCGGGGUAAAAUGUUCCCGGCGUAGUUCAUAUUGACAUCAGUGUGUUCAGCGAUAUCUGUGGCAGCAUUCGUAUACCUGCACCCCUGGAAGACAGCAUCAACCAUCGAGCGUUACCAGCAUGGAUUCCUUCUUUCGGCCCUUAUCUGUAACCUUUCAAACCUUCUGGUCAUCACACCCGAUCCUUACCUGCGCUGCCGCCGCACCGCCACCUCUCCCUCCCUGCGUCGCCGCCGCGCCGCCACCACUCCCUCCCUGCGUCACCGCCGGGACCCCGACGACCCCUCCCACCACUCCCUGCAACUGAAGAGGUAAUCCGACAGCGCCCCCUCCGGGCGCCGCCACGCCGACCCGCCUCCGGGUGCCCAAUUGAUACGCCCGGACCGCUCCUCCUCCGUCCGCUGCCCAACCGUGCCUCCUCCGGGCGCCCAACGCCGGCGCACCCCCUGUCCGGUUGCCCCUCCGCGCCAGCGCCCCCCUUCCCGGCCUUCUCUCCACCCCUCCCCCGGCCUCCCCUCCACGCCGGCGCGCUGGUAGACGGACGCCUCUGGCUACUUCUGUGCCGGCCGCGCCGCCGCCAAGCUCGCCCCUACGAAAACGGUAACCUCUUCCGCCCAUCUGCACAUCUCCAUGACAAUCCGUUUUUAUGCAUCCUUAUUGAGGCGGAUCUGGUGGUUCGAUUGCAUAGAGGAGGAUAAUGAUUAGUGGAUUUGCUUGAUUGGCAACAUAGUCCAUCAUUUAUUCUCCUGUUCUCCAUUAUCAGUAUUGUGAAAUUGCUUGACAGAUGGCUGGUCACUUGUUUUUUUUUAGUGAUUCCAAUGGUAAUCAUAUCAUACCAGACCUAGAUAGAAUAUAAUAUGAGAUGAUGUUGCAGACUGAGUCAUCUGAUUCUUGCAGUCUAAUUCUAGGAGUUUUAGGCAGUGGCAUGUGAAUAUUAUCAAUACUUCUGCUUCAGUUAACAUAUGCAACUUAUGGGCACUCACAUAGCAGGUUAUUUUUCUGUUGUUUUAACUAACAUGGCAUGACGUGAUGUUUUUGACUGUUUAACUAAUAGAAUCUUUAAGCUUUGAUUGGUACACUCAAACUUCAUUAUUGAGAUUGGUCGACUGUCAGUAUUGUGAAAUUGCUCAACAGAUGGGAUAUUGCUUGCAUUAAAAGAUUAGCUUCAGGAUAUUGCUUCGAUUGUAGAGGAUGAUAAAAGUAUUGAUUUUUCUUUCCUUGUUUUUUAGUCAUUCGUGCUUACUCUCUAGCAAUGGUUAAUUACAACACUGCAGGACUACUAGCUAGCGUAUUUAUCUAGGUUCUGAUAUAAAGCAUAUAACAUUGGAUCUGGGAUAAUAUGUUGGCUAUUUUGUGGCUGGCCCGGAAGCCCAGUGGUUGCUUUGCUUUGCUACCUGCUUUUGCAACUCUCUUCUUUUCUGAGCUCAUUCUUACACUUUAGCCUGCAGUCGAGUAUGUGUGUUAGCUAUUGAGCUGUUUUGCUUUGCUUAAUCAAAUGCUAUAUUACACCAUGUUUUCAAAUUUGUUCCCAUAGUUAUUUAGCUUAACCUCUAUCUCUGAAAUCAGGUACUUGAUAGGAUGAACUGUAGGGGUCUGAGGUCUUUUUUUAAUGAAGCAACAGGGGAGGACCCUACUGACAAAUUUCAGAGGAUAUAUAUCUGUACAGGUUGCAUGGCCAUGUAGUUCCAAAAGAAAAAAAAGGAGGAGAUUUAGAUCCCUCUCCACGAAAUAUUUUCAUGGUUGUCCAUAAAUAUUUGUUUUCUGUGCAUUAAGCUUUUCUGUUGUGCUAAUCUGAUUCAAGGAACCCAGAAUUGCAACUAUCUUAAAUUUUCUUUUUAUAUUCCAUUUUAUAUCAAUUCCAGGUACAUGCAUGAUUGGUAUGGCCAGGUUGAAUGCAAAUAUGUGGCAACACUGAAGUAGAACAAUCAUUAUGAAGCAUGUCAAGUAAGCAUGUUCUAACUUUUGGAAUGUAGCUUCAUGAAUUUGAUUCUUUGAUAUACUAUACAAGGUUGUAUUUGUUUGAUCUGUCACUUAAUUUGACAUUGGAGUUGUCCGGCCAACAAAUCCACAUGUGCCUCCGCCACAUGGACGCCCCCAAGGCCCGUACGUGAUCCCCAGGUCCCUUCCCUUCUGUUUGGUUGCAAACACUGACAGAGAACCAUUUGCAACUGAGCUCAUGACUAACUUAAUGUACCGUUGCUGCUUGCAGGUCACAGCUCAGAUGAGGCAAAGCGGAUAGCUUGAUUACUGGAUGCAGGAUUAGCAUCCACCAUGAGCCUGUGCACCUGGUCCAUCGUAAUUCUUUGAAUUUACUCUAUUGAAUGCAGGGUGUUCCUGAAAUUGCAAGAAUUAUGGCACCAGAUUGGUCGUCGAUGGACAGAAGGCAAUGCUGUGCUGCCAAUUAAGUUGCCUGGUGAUGUUUCUAACAUGCAUUCUGUACUAUCUGACAUUUUAGAUUUCAGGCUGCUAUCGUAUCUGGUUUGUGACUGUAUUUUCUACCAAUCAAGUUGCCAUCAAACUUAAAUAUUGAAGCCUCUGGUGGAUAUGAUGAUGAAUUGACUGUAGACUGUUGGCCCUUGGGCAUUGCAAAGAGAAGGAAAUAUCUGUUAAGAUAGCCAAAACCAUCAAGUUAGUCCAGAUCAUGCGCUACAAAAUUUCACUUCUUUUAUGAACUGCUGUAGUGUGUAAUAUAAAUAAUGCCAUCAAGUUAAUAUGUAUGUGCAAAAAAUCCCCUGACAGGAAAUUAUUAGGAAUUUAUAUUAGAAACAGGAAACAUGAAUGCUGAAGCAUGUUAGAACUGACAAAACACAAUCAGACAUAGGCAGGUUCUUGGGACUGCAUGAAGAGAGACUCAGAUUCCUAAGGAUUGUUCAAGUGCAUUCGAUGUGAUUUGCCGACGAAUGGAACAGAGGAUGGCCUAUGGCCAGAAUGAGCAGGUGAGGCUCCAUACUAUCUUACCGUAUGUCUUCCUCAUGUCUCAUGUGUUGCAUUGCAUGUAACUGUUAAAGUAUCUGUGCUACAGAUCUCACUUUAUUAAAUCAUGUGAGAUUAAACUUACAUUUAUAUUGUCAUUAAUAGAAAUCAACAGAAAAGAGGUACUGAUUGGAUUACUAAUUCAUUAUUUGUAGUUGCCUUAGUCAAGAAUAUAAAUUUGUCAGGGACAACUCAAAUACAGAAACACACUCAUGAUCCUUUGUAGUUUGCAGUAGAUUGCGAGUUUAAUGGUAAAUCUGGACUUGAACUUCUUUUCAGACUCUGUUCUACCACCGAAUUUCAUACUGCAUUACUUCAUGCUCGAAAAAUGGAUGAAAUCAAAUCGAUAGCCUUCCUCGGUUAACCAUUGCAGAGACACCGCUCUUGUAAUUCAGGACAUGGUACUGCUGCACGAAGUGGAGGUGGAAUACCCGGACGGUCGACCCAUCGAAAAGCACCAAGCGAUGCUACUGGAGUUCGGAAAGUUUGAAAAUGGCCAAUCCACCACUGCCAUGUCCCUCACCGUUGGUGUAGCAGCAGAAAUAGGGGCUCUGGUAGUAACCUUAACCACAGUUAUACUUGCAUGAGGAUAAAAGCAGAAACCCCAUGUAUAUUCAUUUACUCUUGCCCCAUGCCAUGUUGCAGCUCUUGCUCCAGAACAAGGUGCAGACGAAAGGAGUGAUUAGGCCUCUGGAACCUGAAAUCUACAUUCCAGGUGAGUGCAACGUGGACCAUGGUUUUCAUGCCUGUCCUUUGUGGAAUCACCGUGACAUGCAACAGUGCUGACUCGUGUGUUUGCGUGUGUGAAGCAUUGGAAAUCUUGGACUCGUCAGGCAUAAAGCUGACUGAGAGAGUGGAGAUUUGAAAAUUCGUGUGUACUCCCUCCGUCCCUGUCGUUUUCGCUUCCUGAGAAACAACUUUGACUAAAUAUAUAUAAAAAAUAUUAAUAUUUAUGAUACAAAAUUAAUACAAUUAGAUAGAUAUUUGAAUCUAGUUUUUUAAUAAAUUUAUUUGAAGAUACAAAUGGUGCACGUAUUUUCUACAAAUCCAGUCAAACUUGCGGCACGGAAACCAAAAGCGACAGUUAUUUAGGGACGGAGGGAGUAAGCAUUGGAGAUCUUGGAGUCGUCAGCCACCAAGCUGACUGAGAGAAUGUAGAUUUGAAAAUUCGAAGUUAAUAGUACAUAGAUAUACUAUAUGAUAAUAGCUGGGUACAUAUAUUCUGUACAUACUAUGUUCUGUCCUAAGAAAGGGUAGGAACUCCCAACAGUUUGUCGUCGUCGUUGUACAUAGAAUCUCAUAAUGUAUAACUUUCAAAGCUCUAAAAACAACAGGUCUUGUGUGCAACGAUGAUAGUCGGAUUAGUUAUACACCAUGUACUUUAGUGUGGCACUAAAUUAUGAAUAGGUUCUCUAUACUUAAAGCUUCUUAGACUAUGAUGUUCGUCAGCUCACUGGUGAUUGGAAAGGCGUCUUUAGAAAUUGCUACGCAAAACGAUUGGGAGUAUAGGGCAACCCUGCUUGCUUAUUCAAAUUGAUGUACCUAAGGGUGUAAAAUGUGAAGAUAUAUGGAAGUCUUGAUUGUGGAGAAAAAUUGUCAAUCAAAAUAGCAUCUUAUUUAUGAGGUGGGGCCUGAUUCGACUCAUGUCGAGCCCUCUCCUUUGCACCAACGAACAGAUCCAAUCGUUUAAAAUCAGGUCCAAGUUCACAUCUCUUUUGCCCUCCCACUCAGAGCACAAUCGGCCAGCGCGACGGGGAUGGCGACACAGCCACCGACGGCUGGAGCUCCCUCAAUGCUGCCAGCAGGUAAUUGACUAGCCUAUUACUAUUUGGAUGUGAUGCACAUUGGUCACGAAUUUGUAAAUCUAUCAGUUCCUGCUUCCUGCAUCCAUUUGUGCAGUUCUUGCGGUGGAUGCAGUGCACUGAGUAUAGAAAUUAUUUUUUAUUACUUCUGUGAAACGUUUUGGCCUUGGCAAGUAUGUACAGAUUUAGUUGUUGUUUUUUUAGUCAGAGGUGAGCUACGUGUAUGGGAAAGAAACACUUGAUUGCUUGUUCUAGAUCUUGCCUUCAUAUAAACUGUGAUGCUAUCAACAUGGAGAUUUGAUGCAUUCUACUCUCUCUCUAUUUCACAUGGAAAAGAACUCGUGUUUACUCAAUAAUGCUUAUGAAUUUUCCUUAGAGUUGCAUUUAUUCAUCAUCCUAAAGUAUUCCGUGUCAAGUAAACUCAUACUUCUAAUUUUUCAAAAAACAAUCUGAAAUCAAUGAACCCCUCCUUCCUUGUGAAAUUGUUGUACCUUUUUCCUUAUGACAUCUUAUCUACUUCCACUUUCCUGGUGCAGAAUUUUUGAAAGUAGGAAACGUAAGCAAUGACAGUGAGAGUCGCAGCAAUACUGAGCUCAAUAGGUGAACUAGACAAACCAUUCUGCUGUAGUUCAUUUUAUCACUGCAGUCAUCGUCGGACAAUGAGGUCAGAACCAGCAGGUUCGCAGAGUGACUUGUGACUUGUGGAUAAUCCUGCAGAUUCAACAAUGGUAAAGUAACGAAUGGUUAAGGUAUAAGUAGAUUUACUCAAUUAUACUCCAAUAGCUAAUGCAUUGCAUAUAUUGCUUGGCCGUGUAUAUAAAUAUUACAUCACUGUUCAACAUAAGUAAAUAGCUUGGUCCUUCAUAAUAAAGCAGUCCAUUUUGGUAAAAGCUAUAGUGCAAUUAGUUUUCUUGAUUUUCUUAAAAUUUUACUCAAAGUCUGUUCCUUAUGUUGUACAUUUGCCUCGCGGGCUGGCUAACUGACCUACAUGAGGCUGGCUAACUGAUCUGGAGGUUCACUAUCUAUGUUCUUUCAUUUCAUUGUCAAACAGAGAUAUUCUAAAUCUGAAAGUCUGUUGAAAUUGCCUAUGGAGUCUUGUGGUACCUUUAGUGUUUCUUAUCAUGUCCAGUAGG